RNAcentral lists this ribosomal RNA (346 nucleotides) under Chalazion helveticum. Its description in RNAcentral is "SSU rRNA". It matches the Rfam family "Eukaryotic small subunit ribosomal RNA", at positions 594 to 945 of the family's 1831-position model. Lineage: Eukaryota; Fungi; Ascomycota; Pezizomycetes; Pezizales; Pyronemataceae. The record is from RNAcentral.
AUAGCGUAUAUUAAAGUUGUUGCAGUUAAAAAGCUCGUAGUUGAACCUUGGGCCUGGCUGUCUGGUCCGCCUCACGGUGUGUACUAGUUUGGCUGGGUCUUUCCUUCUGGCAAACCGCAUGCCCUUCGCUGGGUGUGUUGGGGAACCAGGACUUUUACUUUGAAAAAAUUAGAGUGUUCAAAGCAGGCAUAUGCUCGAAUACAUUAGCAUGGAAUAAUAGAAUAGGACGUGCAGUUCUAUUUUGUUGGUUUCUAGGACUGCCGUAAUGAUUAAUAGGGAUAGUCGGGGGCAUCCGUAUUCAAUUGUCAGAGGUGAAAUUCUUGGAUUUAUUGAAGACGAACUACUG